AGUUCGAUCGAUACCGUCGAAUCACAUCCGUGAUCGUUAACGUAUCGCGACGCGAAUCAUUUCGAUUCCAAUUGAAUGAUUGAAAGCUUUUCGCGAUCGAUCAAAACAAUUUAUCGAUUAUAUUUAUUCAAUCCGUUAUUCGAUUAACAUAUAUUUAAAUAUAAAUCCCGAAUAAAUAGAAAUAUUUAUAUUCUAUUCAAAAUUUAUUUCUUUUGUUCAGUACAUUAUAAAAAGCUUUUUCUACCUAUAUUUCUAACUAUUUUUUGUAAGGAUCAGGUAAAAAAAAACGAUUGUAACAUAUUUUUUUCACUUCGUCAAACAUAACCUCUAAUUCAUCAAAAUCAAUAUCGUGAAACAUCGACAUCGAAGAUUAAGAGAACUCGCUGAAAGCAUGUUCGAAAUGUCAUAUUGUAUCGAGUGCAUCGUAAGCAUGACGUAGAAAAAUAGAAAAUACUAAUAUACAUACUAUGUACAGCCUGAUGUGCAAUGCCGGGGUUCAAUUUGACGUGUAAUCGGAAGAAAAGACUGUGCGCGCCGACUAAGUGUCAGGUCACGUGCGCGCGCAUUAAGUGUCGCUGCACACGUGCACACGAAUACAGGCGGCAUGCAACUAUGUGCGGGCAAAGCUGCGCGGUCGUUAGGCGACUCUUUCCUCGUCAUGCUCUCCUAUCAUACCAGCCACGUUACACGCGCGCAACGGCCAUGUUCGAAUAUCAUUGUACAGCAUCGUGUGCGUGUAUUCUCAGUACCUAUAAAACAAUGUUAAGAUGUCGACAUGUGGUGCAACAUAUUUUCAGAUGGUAAACGGCACUGUCUCCCCACCUAUCUUAGACGAGACCAUACUACGUGGCCUGAGCGAAUUAUGUGAGUCGCGCCAAAUCUUGUAGGUGACGAGUCUUGAAAACUGACCACUGGAAAUCUAAUUACGAGGCGUUAUACCGAACAACCCAAAUGACCACUCGAGGAAUUCGCAGGACGCGUCUCCAUUUUCUGCGCGCGCACAUCUUUCUGCGCGAAUCUGGAUGCGCAGUGCCAGCAUAGUGCCAGCUUUCAAGAUACAUAUAUUUUAUGUCGUGGAUCAAAAAAGUUUUCAGAAGAAAAUAUAAAUUAUAAUAAAAUGCUGGAAGUUCAUAAUUUAAUAAAAAUAUGCAUUUGUCGUAUAAUAUAAUAAAAUAUAUAAUAUAUAAUUGUAUAA
This is a long non-coding RNA of Apis cerana (Asiatic honeybee), 1195 nucleotides long. RefSeq lists it as uncharacterized. Lineage: Eukaryota; Metazoa; Arthropoda; Insecta; Hymenoptera; Apidae. The record is from RefSeq and is a predicted model, not a curated record.